UACGUAGGUGACAAGCGUAGUCCGGAUUUACUGGGCGUAAAGAGCGCGCAGGCGGUCGAUCAAGUCGAGUGUGAAAGCCCCCGGCUCAACUGGGGAGGGUCAUUCGAUACUGAUCGACUCGAAGGCAGGAGAGGGUAGUGGAAUUCCCGGUGUAGUGGUGAAAUGCGUAGAUAUCGGGAGGAACACCAGUGGCGAAGGCGACUACCUGGCCUGUUCUUGACGCUGAGGCGCGAAAGCUAGGGGAGCAAACGGG
This 253-nucleotide ribosomal RNA is filed under the name uncultured bacterium. RNAcentral describes it as "partial 16S ribosomal RNA". It matches the Rfam family "Bacterial small subunit ribosomal RNA", at positions 524 to 776 of the family's 1533-position model. The record is from RNAcentral.